Molecule: RNA transcript, 1780 nt
Organism: Schistocerca gregaria
Lineage: Eukaryota; Metazoa; Arthropoda; Insecta; Orthoptera; Acrididae
Gene name: methionyl-tRNA formyltransferase, mitochondrial-like
Exons: 7
Source: RefSeq, a predicted model, not a curated record
AGAGUAAAUAUUUGUGCUCGGCAGUUUCUAAGCGAAAGAAAAUCGAAAAACUGAAAGCAAGUAUCCAUUAAAUUUGAGUUUUAAAGUGUACGGUUGUACGAUGCCCUUUGGGUGUGUUGUACCCUAGGUAGUAGAGCUGCACAUCUGGAAUGUUGAUAGUUAUGCGAUACAAUACAUAGGAUUUGUUGUGUUUAGUGUGACUGUUUUCGAAGUAUACAUGUUGCUUUGUAGUCGUCGCGUGUGUUCGGUGGACGUUGUCGUGAUUCUGAAGAAUGACGAAUAGCAUCUCGAACUCGGAUAGCUGCAACACAUUUAUACUCACGGAAACCUAACCUCAACAACUACUUCGUGUACUUGACCAUGAUAAUGUUGAAAGCAUAUUUGCUGCGGAAUUUGCCUGAAAAACUCUGCUACAGAUUAAAUCGUUGCGUUAGAUCUGUGAGUGUGACACAUAAAAAAUGUGAUCAAACGUUUCGACCAUACUCUACUCGCCCUAUUGCUCCUGCUUGGAAUGUUUUGUUUUUCGGCACCGAUGAUUUUUCAGCAGAAAGCUUAACAGCUCUUUGUAAUGAAAUGAAACUGCUAAGAGUCGUGGGUCAUCUAGAGGUUGUGACAUCGACAAAAUCUCGUAAACCAAACCCUGUACAGAGGAUCGCACAGCAGGAAAACCUCGCAGUUCAUCCAUGGCCGUUGGAGUCUGUGCCACCAGGAUUUCACAUUGGUCUUGUAGCAUCUUUUGGACACCUCAUUCCCAAGAAGAUAAUUGAAAUGUUCCCUUUAGGUGUUCUGAACGUACAUGCCAGUCUCCUGCCUCGUUGGAGGGGUGCAGCUCCCAUUGUAUAUGCCGUAUUGAAUGGGGACACAAAAACAGGAGUUUCCAUAAUGCAGAUUAUGCCACACAGGUUUGAUGUUGGCCCAGUACUGAAGCAGAUGGCUUGCCCCAUAGGUCCCCACGAAACGGCAGCUGACGUCCAGACCCGCCUCGCACGGCUUGGCGCUGAAGCUCUCCUGGAAGUCGUACGACAUCUGCCUCACUCCCUGGAUGAUGCCUGGCCACAGCUGGAAGAUGGGGUGACAUAUGCUCCUAAGGUGACCCCAGCCCUGUACCGUGCGGAUUGGCACAAGAUGGCAGCUGCCGACGUCUACAACCUGUGCCGUGCUCUCGGCCACGUCACCUCCAACUGGUACGGCACGGCAGUCCGGCUGGCGCAGCCUGACGCACCCUCGUCAGCGCCUUCUCCCGUCUCGCACCUCUCCUCACUUCCUGCGACUGCCAUCCCGGGCGGUGAUGUGGCAUCUUCGAGGACUCCACGUAGAGCACUUUCGACAGAGAGUUUUACGGGGCAGCAAUUCACUCCAGGAAUGGUUCGCAUCCACAGGGCCAGUGCCAUGCUGAGGGUGAUGUGUGUGGAUGGCAGCUGGCUGGCCUUUGCAAAAGUCACCAUCAUCGGGAAAAAGCCCAUGUCGGCAAUUGACUUCUAUAAUGGUUUCCUGUCAAAAGUGCCUUUGGAUGAAUGGAUCCUCACAUGACCACUGGACCAAAUGGAAUUACUGUUAUUUGUUCAGUUUUUCUUUGCACCAACUUCAGGCCCCUCUGUGAAAAUGGCAAGCACAAGGAUACCAGAAUGCUGGAGUCUCAGGUGAAGAAAUAAGCUGAUUUGUGAUAAAACUUUGAGAAGAGAAUGUAAAAUGACUGUGUGAGUUACGCACUCACAAACUGUACAUUUCUAGUCAUUCAGCUGGUUAUACAGUUUUUUAGCAAUAAAUACCUUUGGCAAAA